GACGAACGCUGGCGGCGUGCUUAAUACAUGCAAGUCGAGCGAACAGACGCGGCGCUUGCUCCUCUGACGUUUGCGGAGGACGGGAGUGUAACAUGUGGAUCCCCUCCCUGUCAGACUGGGAUCUCUUCGGGACACCGGCGCUUAUCCCGGAUGAUCUCUUGCUGCGCAUGGUUCAUUGGUGAAAUACGGUUUUGCUGUCACUUCUCGCUGGUUCUGCGCCGCAUUAGCUAGUUGGUAAGGUCACGGCUUACCAAGGCUAGGAUGCGUAGCCGACUGGAGAGGGGGGUCGGCCACACUGGAACGGAGACACGGUCCAUACGCCUACGGGAGGCAGCAGUAGGGAAUCGUCCGCAAUGGGCGAAAGCCUGACGGAGCAACGCGGCGUGAGUGAUGAAGGUCUUCGGAUCGGAAAACUCGGUUAUUGGGUAAAAACAAAUGUGUAAGUAACUAUGCACGUCUUGACGGUACCUGGUCAGAAAGCCACGGCUAACUACGUG
RNAcentral lists this ribosomal RNA (497 nucleotides) under uncultured bacterium. RNAcentral's name for it is "partial 16S ribosomal RNA". It matches the Rfam family "Bacterial small subunit ribosomal RNA", at positions 28 to 507 of the family's 1533-position model. The record is from RNAcentral.